GGUUCGUUGGUGUAGUUGGUUAUCACGUCUGUCUCACAAGGACGAUCUCGGGAUCGAACACUAUAGCUUGUUCACAGGAGGUCUCCGGUUCGAUCUCGGAUCGAACCA
This is a non-coding RNA of Epithele typhae, 108 nucleotides long. The record is from the annotation of a RefSeq genome assembly. Lineage: Eukaryota; Fungi; Basidiomycota; Agaricomycetes; Polyporales; Epitheliaceae.